This 590-nucleotide ribosomal RNA is filed under the name uncultured eukaryote. Its description in RNAcentral is "bacterial SSU rRNA". It matches the Rfam family "Eukaryotic small subunit ribosomal RNA", at positions 626 to 1186 of the family's 1831-position model. The record is from RNAcentral.
GCUCGUAGUUGGAUUUCUGUUUGUAGCGUUGGGCCCGCCCGGGUUACCGGUGUGAGUGCCUGUACGCUCCUUACAUCCUUCUAGAGAACGGUUCUCUCCUUCAUUGGCUGUGGGAUCGCAAUCUAGAUCUUUUACUUUGAAAAAAUUAGAGUGUUUAAAGCAGGCUUGUGCUAUGAAUACAUUAGCAUGGAAUAAUAAUUUAGGACUUUAGUUCUAUUUUGUUGGUUUCCAGAACUGAAGUAAUGAUUGAUAGGGAUAGUUGGGGGUGCUAGUAUUCAGCGGCCAGAGGUGAAAUUCUUGGAUUCGCUGAAGACUAACUUAUGCGAAAGCAUUCACCAAAGGAUGUCUUCUUUAAUCAAAGAACGAAAGUUGGGGGGAUCGAAAGACGAUCAGAUACCGUCGUAGUCUCAAACCAUAAAACUAUGCCGACUAAGGGAUGAGUGAACGGUUGCAUUUUUCGACUUUCAUUUCGCACUUUUAAUGAAGAAAAUCAAAAGGUUUUUGGGGUUCCGGGGGGGAGUAAUGGUCGCAGGCUUGAAAACUUUAAAGGAAUUGACGGAAGGGCCACCACCCAGGGAGGUGGAGCCCUG